Molecule: RNA transcript, 3755 nt
Organism: Osmerus eperlanus (European smelt)
Lineage: Eukaryota; Metazoa; Chordata; Actinopteri; Osmeriformes; Osmeridae
Gene: pcbp3
Gene name: poly(rC) binding protein 3
Exons: 17
Source: RefSeq, a predicted model, not a curated record
GAGCGCGUGUGUGUGUCAGCGUGUGUGUGUGCAGGAGAAGAGAUAAAGAGAGGGAGAGAGAGAGAGAGGCGAACAGCGGAACUUCUCCCCCUCCAGCCUCCCCGUCUCCCCGCUCCUGGCCACUCCGUCCUCCCCUCCCGGACUGCCUCCGAGCCCCCGGACCCCCAGGACUCUCCUACCCAUCAGCCCCUUUGACUCUCCUGACUUCUCCAUCCGUCUGAGCAGGAUUCCCCUGUUUUCCCUGGGGUGUCAUCUUGGACCUGUUCAUCCAACGAAAGCUCUACAUCCACCACUGACGAUCGCGGGAAGAAAUUCAAGCAUUCAGCUAAACCAUCUGAAGAACUCAAGUCUGCUUCACUCAGGAAGAGGCCACGCCUCCCCAGUCCUCUGGAAGGUGGACAGCACAAGGUCACAUGACCUGGACCAGAAACCCCAGGAGAGUUUUGGGACCCCUGAAUGGGCUGGCUAUCAACCUGGGGAGAAGUGUAAAGGUUGAUGAACUGAUCCGUCCGGAACCACAAGUCGACUUUCCCCUCCUCCACCUUCAGCUCCCUGCCUCCAUAUAUGAGAAGCCUCAGCCGGGAUCAGCUCUGGUGACUGGCUGGCUGUAGCACCAUCACACUCCUCCCCUUCCUGAGGACCACACACACCUGUCACACCUCCCACUACUACCAGGAUGGAGCCUACCAAAGUCCAGUCAGAGGGGGGGCUCAAUGUCACCCUCACCAUCCGCCUCCUCAUGCAUGGCAAAGAGGUUGGAAGCAUCAUUGGCAAGAAGGGGGAAACCGUGAAGAAGAUGCGAGAGGAGAGUGGUGCACGAAUCAACAUCUCUGAGGGCAACUGCCCUGAGAGGAUCGUCACCAUCACAGGCCCAACAGAUGCCAUCUUUAAGGCUUUUGCCAUGAUUGCCUACAAGUUUGAAGAGGAUAUAAUCAAUUCCAUGAGCAACAGCCCUGCCCCCAGCAAGCCCCCAGUCACCCUGCGCCUGGUAGUGCCGGCCAGCCAGUGUGGCUCCCUCAUUGGGAAGGGAGGCUCCAAGAUCAAGGAGAUGAGAGAGUCCACAGGUUCUCAGGUCCAGGUGGCAGGUGACAUGCUGCCCAACUCGACAGAGCGUGCAGUGACAAUCUCUGGCACCCCAGAAGCCAUCAUCCAGUGUGUCAAGCAAAUAUGUGUGGUCAUGUUGGAGUCCCCACCUAAAGGUGCCACAAUCCCCUACCGCCCCAAGCCUGCCUCCACCCCCGUCAUCUUUUCAGGUGGCCAGGCCUACACAAUUCAGGGACAGUAUGCCAUCCCACACCCAGAUCAGUUGACCAAGCUCCACCAGUUGGCUAUGCAGCAAACCCCCUUUACCCCUCUCGGACAGACCACCCCCGCUUUCCCUGGUCUGGACGCCAGUCCCCCAGCCAGCACUCAUGAACUCACCAUUCCCAAUGAUCUAAUAGGCUGCAUAAUCGGGCGCCAGGGAACCAAGAUCAAUGAGAUCCGACAAAUGUCUGGGGCGCAGAUCAAAAUUGCUAACGCCAUGGAGGGUUCGUCUGAGCGUCAGAUCACCAUUACAGGAACCCCUGCCAACAUCAGCCUGGCCCAGUACCUCAUCAACGCCAGGUAAACAUCAGCCUGGCCCAGUACCUCAUCAACGCCAGGUAAACAUCAGCCUGGCCCAGUACCUCAUCAACGCCAGGUAAACAUCAGCCUGGCCCAGUACCUCAUCAACGCCAGGUUCAGGGACGUGGCAGCUAUGUGGAACGACCCGUCAUCUAUGACACCCUCCUGAAGUCCCCAAAUCUGUUCCCUUUAUCAGAAGCCAACAGCGACAACUGUGUGCUAAUUAACCCCCACAUACUGUAUACUCCAACAGAACAUCUUUAGUCCCAUAGCUAAUGUCCUUAGUUCUUGGCCAUUAGACUUUAGUAGUAGCCUGAUUCUUAAAUAAGGGUUUUGCUAAUGCAAAGCUAGCAAAAGUGUGUUUUUACUUUUGGGUAAUGUGCAGUAGUUUAGUAUAGUAUUGAGGCAUGCUGAUUGGAUAUAGUAGUUUCCUUGUCAGGAAAGUAAGAAAAUGUAUAAAAAAUGGAAAAUUAAAAGAAGAAAAAAAAAAAGUGCAAGCACUGUAAUUACAUUUGAUUCCUGCAGAGCAAUGCUGUUGGAAAUAAGUGAUGUGAUGCUGUUUUGAAGGGAAAAUGCUGUCAUAUGUGAGAGAAAAAUUAAAAAACCUGUUGUAAAAUGUAAGCAGGUUUAGGAGCGUAGCCAUUCUGAAGGUAAACAUUAAGUUGACAACUUCUGUCAGUGUGUUUACCAGUACUUGCUGAGUGCUUUUGAUUGGUUUCAAUCAAAAUCAAUUGCUAAAUCCAUAUGCAUGGAAACAUUAUAGGCUAACAACAUCAGAAGACCUUAAAGAUAUAAAUCUGCAAAGCUUUCACUGUUGAAUGAAAGUGUCUAAGCUUAUCAGAACGUCUCUUUGUUUUCUAUCUUUUCCCUCCAUCCUUCCUCCCCCCUUCCCCAAACUGUUCUAGGCUGACAGAGUUCACUGGAAUGGACACACUCUAAUUUCUACCCAUCAUCCUUCACUGCAUCACAUGACCCUUGAGCCAAUGACAUUGCACCUAGAUAUUUCAUUUAUCUCUGUAUGUAGUUCUCCUACCUUUUAAGUGAUUCAGGUUUAUAUUCCAUGUGAAGAUGUAUCUUUGUAACCCUCACUGUUAUCCGGAUUCUUUUCUAAACUGCUCACAACGCUACUAUGUUGAAAGGACUCUUUACUUUUUUGACACUCUAGUACUGUCCAUAGCAUCACUUGUAACCGACAUUGCCAUGCAUUUAAUUUGUAUACAUUUAUUUGUAUUAAUCAUGAAAAAAAGUGAGUUAUUACAGGCACCUAAGAGCCAUUUCUUGAACAAUGUUUUUUCCCAAGCUGUAGUGUAAGGCUGUUGAAACACAUUUUUGGGGUGGGUAGGUGAGAGUGUGUGUGUGUGUGUCAUGUUUGCUCACCAGUGUGUCUGGCAGGCUGGCUGACAUCUGGGAUGAGGCUUUUAAUUCAUGUGACAUCUAUGCAUUUUGGAUUCACUUUCAACGACUGUGGUGGAACUGACAGAAAUUCACAGAAAAGUUCAGACUGGAUAAGGAAUGCUGAUUGGCUUGGCUGAGUCCUUCUGCCCCACAUAGUCCCUUGUCAACAACCUUCCUGAAGGCAUCUGUUUGUAUCCAAAUAUGGGGGGGGGGGAUACUGUGUAGUUACUUCCUCCCACUGAAAGUGAAUAUCAAAAUGUUUUAAUUCACAGAAAUCAGCUCUUGUACUUGUAAACGGCUGAUAUGUGAAGUUGAGUUGAUACAGGGAGGCCAUAAUAUCUCAGUAGUAGUGAUUACUAAUCACAACUGCUAUAAAGCACUUCAUAAAGCCUUCAGAAAAUGAACAGUAACUGUCAGUGUGCUGCCUGUGGUGUCGUGGUGCUCUGUGCUUUACUUUACUGUGUGUGGCUGUGGGGUAGCAGGGAGAGCUGGCUGAGAGUGUCCCUGUGUGUGGCUGUGGGGUAGCAGGGAGAGCUGGCUGAGAGUGUCCCUGUGUGUGGCUGUGGGGUAGCAGGGAGAGCUGGCUGAGAGUGUCCCUGUGCGUGGCUGUGGGGUAGCAGGGAGAGCUGGCUGAGAGUGUCCCUGUGUGUGGCUGUGGGGUAUCAGGGAGAGCUGGCUGAGAGUGUCCCUGUGUGUGGCUGUGGGGUAGCAGGGAGAGCUGGCUGAGAGUGUCCCUGUGUGUGGCUGUGGGGUAG